UCGGGAAUUUUGGGCAAUGGGCGAAAGCCUGACCCAGCAACGCCGCGUGAGGGAUGAAGUAUUUCGGUAUGUAAACCUCGAAAGAAUGGGAAGAAUAAAUGACGGUACCAUUUAUAAGCUCCGGCUAACUACGUGCCAGCAGCCGCGGUAAUACGUAGGGAGCAAGCGUUGUUCGGAUUUACUGGGCGUAAAGCGUACGUAGGCGGAUGAUUAAGUCAGGGGUGAAAUCCCGGGGCUCAACCUCGGAACUGCCUUUGAUACUGGUCGUCUUGAGUCCGGGAGAGGUGAGUGGAACUCCUAGUGUAGAGGUGAAAUUCGUAGAUAUUAUGAAGAACACCAGUGGCGAAGGCGGCUCACUGGCCCGGAACUGACGCUGAGGUACGAAAGCGUGGGGAGCAAACA
This 402-nucleotide ribosomal RNA is filed under the name uncultured bacterium. Its description in RNAcentral is "bacterial SSU rRNA". It matches the Rfam family "Bacterial small subunit ribosomal RNA", at positions 355 to 774 of the family's 1533-position model. The record is from RNAcentral.